RNAcentral lists this ribosomal RNA (501 nucleotides) under uncultured bacterium. RNAcentral's name for it is "partial 16S ribosomal RNA". It matches the Rfam family "Bacterial small subunit ribosomal RNA", at positions 29 to 523 of the family's 1533-position model. The record is from RNAcentral.
AUUGAACGCUGGCGGCAUGCCUUACACAUGCAAGUCGAACGGCAGCACGGGUGCUUGCACCUGGUGGCGAGUGGCGAACGGGUGAGUAAUACAUCGGAACGUACCUUAUCGUGGGGGAUAACGCAGCGAAAGCUGUGCUAAUACCGCAUACGCCCUGAGGGGGAAAGCGGGGGAUCGAAAGACCUCGCGCGAUUAGAGCGGCCGAUGCCUGAUUAGCUUGUUGGUGGGGUAAAAGCCCACCAAGGCGACGAUCAGUAGCUGGUCUGAGAGGACGAUCGGCCACACUGGGACUGAGACACGGCCCAGAAUCCUACGGGAGGCAGCAGUGGGGAAUUUUGGACAAUGGGGGCAACCCUGAUCCAGCAAUGCCGCGUGAGUGAAGAAGGCCUUCGGGUUGUAAAGCUCUUUUGUCAGGGAAGAAACACCGGCUCUAACACAGUCCGGGAAUGACGGUACCUGAAGAAUAAGCACCGGCUAACUACGUGCCAGCCGCCGCGGUAA